AGUGAACGCUGGCGGUAGGCCUAACACAUGCAAGUCGAACGGCAGCACAGUAAAAGCUUGCUCUUACGGGUGGCGAGUGGCGGACGAGUGAGGAAUACAUCGGAAUCUACUUUUUCGUGGGGGAUAACGUAGGGAAACUUACGCUAAUACCGCAUACGACCUACGGGUGAAAGCAGGGGAUCUUCGGACCUUGCGCGAUUGAAUGAGCCGAUGUCGGAUUAGCUAGUUGGCGGGGUAAAGGCCCACCAAGGCGACGAUCCGUAGCUGGUCUGAGAGGAUGAUCAGCCACACUGGAACUGAGACACGGUCCAGACUCCUACGGGAGGCAGCAGUGGGGAAUAUUGGACAAUGGGCGAAAGCCUGAUCCAGCCAUACCGCGUGGGUGAAGAAGGCCUUCGGGUUGUAAAGCCCUUUUGUUGGGAAAGAAAAGCAGCAGGUUAAUACCCCGCUGUUCUGACGGUACCCAAAGAAUAAGCACCGGCUAACUUCGU
This 491-nucleotide ribosomal RNA is filed under the name uncultured bacterium. Its description in RNAcentral is "partial 16S ribosomal RNA". It matches the Rfam family "Bacterial small subunit ribosomal RNA", at positions 29 to 506 of the family's 1533-position model. The record is from RNAcentral.